This 431-nucleotide ribosomal RNA is filed under the name uncultured bacterium. RNAcentral's name for it is "partial 16S ribosomal RNA". It matches the Rfam family "Bacterial small subunit ribosomal RNA", at positions 29 to 507 of the family's 1533-position model. The record is from RNAcentral.
AACGAACGCUGGCGGCAGGCUUAACACAUGCAAGUCGAGCGCCCCGCAAGGGGAGCGGCAGACGGGUGCGUAACGCGUGGGAACGUACCUUUUGGUUCGGAACAACUCCGGGAAACUGGAGCUAAUACCGGAUAAGCCCUAACGGGGAAAGAUUUAUCGCCGAACGAUCGGCCCGCGUCUGAUUAGCUAGUUGGUGAGGUAACGGCUCACCAAGGCGACGAUCAGUAGCUGGUCUGAGAGGAUGAUCAGCCACACUGGGACUGAGACACGGCCCAGACUCCUACGGGAGGCAGCAGUGGGGAAUAUUGGACAAUGGGGGCAAGCCUGAUCCAGCCAUGCCGCGUGAGUGAGGAAGGCCUUAGGGUUGUAAAGCUCUUUUGUCCGGGAAGAUAAUGACUGUACCGGAAGAAUAAGCCCCGGCUAACUUCGUG